This 253-nucleotide ribosomal RNA is filed under the name uncultured bacterium. RNAcentral describes it as "partial 16S ribosomal RNA". It matches the Rfam family "Bacterial small subunit ribosomal RNA", at positions 524 to 776 of the family's 1533-position model. The record is from RNAcentral.
UACAGAGGUCCCAAGCGUUGUUCGGAUUCAUUGGGCGUAAAGGGUGCGUAGGCGGCGCGGUAAGUCGAGUGUGAAAUCUCGGGGCUUAACUCCGAAACUGCAUUCGAUACUGCCGUGCUUGAGGACUGGAGAGGAGACUGGAAUUUACGGUGUAGCGGUGAAAUGCGUAGAUAUCGUAAGGAAGACCAGUGGCGAAGGCGGGUCUCUGGACAGUUCCUGACGCUGAGGCACGAAGGCCAGGGGAGCAAACGGG